UACAGAGGGGGCAAGCGUUAUUCGGAAUUAUUGGGCGUAAAGGGCGCGUAGGCGGCCUGGCAAGUGGAAGGUGAAAUCCCUCGGCUUAACCGAGGAACUGCCCUCCAAACUGCUUGGCUUGAGUCCGGGAGAGGUGAGUGGAAUUCCCGGUGUAGCGGUGAAAUGCGUAGAUAUUGGGAGGAACACCAGUGGCGAAGGCGGCUCACUGGACCGGAACUGACGCUGAGGCGCGAAAGCGUGGGGAGCAAACGGG
Molecule: ribosomal RNA, 253 nt
Filed under: uncultured bacterium
Lineage: Bacteria
Description: partial 16S ribosomal RNA
Rfam family: Bacterial small subunit ribosomal RNA
Source: RNAcentral